GCCAUGGCAACAGUUCUGUCUUCUGAAGUCUCCAGCUCUCUCUGGCAAGAACGGUUCUGUCUCUGCUUUCACAUGUUCUUGUGUCUUUGUCCUACCCUCGAAGCUUCCUCUCGUUCUUCUGCCUUCCAGGGGUGCUCCUUGGGAAGCAGUGGGGCACUCACCAAGUUUCGUAGCUGCAGAGUCCAAAAACUUGGCUCUAAGUCUUGGCUCCACUUCUUCUGGUGACCUUGGACCCAUCCUCUGCCCUCUGGUUUUUUUGGCACAAGAUCUAACUACCUCAGUGGGGGCAUGAGAGCCGAAGGAGAUGGUGUUACUGGCAGGGGGAAGUGCGUGAUGCCAAUUAGUUUUUAGGAUUCCAGGAGCUUCUGGAAAGCAGGCUUUUAUGGAAGGACACUUGGAAGGAGCGAAGUGCAAAAAAUGAACAAAGAGGCCCGAUGAUGCAUCUGCUGAACUUUUCAGUUGUCAAAUGCAAAUUGAGCACAAAGAGGACAGAGUUGAUGACAUAUCAGGAACAUUUUUUAUUUCCAGAGCAGGUCUGAGUCCCAGCGGAAGACUGAGGCCGACUGAGCCAGAGGUACCACUUCAACAGGUCACUGGUCUCUGCAGAGGAAGGAAAAGGUGUAAGAGUUCUCCCUGCAUAGAUGCUAUUUGUGACUUGGAUGUUUUCUUUCUAAUACAAAUGCAUCAAAGUGUUCACAGGAAUCUAGCUAUAUGCAAGAAGUCUGGAUUUUCUGCCUGAGAGAACUGGCCAGUAUCUCACCCAUGGGCACCAGAACCCAUUUCUAGAUUACUAAGAAAUGAGCACAAGAAUACUGUGUAUAAGGCACUGUGUUCCUAGACCUUUCCAAAUUUUACUUAAUGCAGAUUAACUUCAUCAACCCUGGUGAAAAUGCCACCUCCUCUAGGAAGCCUUCCCCAUUUGUCCCGUCUCAGAGACAUUUGACUCCAUGGGCUUCUCUGCAGUUUUGUUCCGUGUAGGACUGCCUAGUGCCUAGCUUUCUUGUGGUGUUCCUUGCUUAUGUCUUGUCUCCCCAUUUGAUUUGGAGGGUCCUGGGAAGGGACCACUGGGCUGGGCUUAGCAGGUCCCCUGUAAAGACCUGUUGAGUAAUUAGAAGAGACAGUGGCCCCAUCUGGGUGAAUCCUGAAUUUAAUCAAUUCCCUGGAUCCCUGUUUAUCUUGCAAGUAGGGUAAGAAUGUCAUUGAAAUCCUAUGAUGUAGUCAUGGAAGGGCUAAUCCAGUCAGUGUACUACUACUAGUCACUAGGCAUACUGUUUAGCUCAGCGGUUUUUUGUUUUGUUUUGAUAACAAGACUGUCUCGAUGAAGGAAGCUGGGCAUUGUUUAAUAUUCUAAUGCAGGCUCCUUAUUUCACAGCAUACUGGUAGUUACACUUGGAGUCGUGGUGAAAUAAAACAUCUAGGCCAGCGCCGUGGCUCACGUCUGUAAUCCCAGCACUUUCAGAGGCUGAGGCAGGUGGAUCACUUGAGGUCAAGAG
Macaca mulatta (Rhesus monkey) is the source of this 1493-nucleotide non-coding RNA. The record is from RefSeq and is a predicted model, not a curated record. Lineage: Eukaryota; Metazoa; Chordata; Mammalia; Primates; Cercopithecidae.